GAUGAACGCUGGCGGCGUGCCUAAUACAUGCAAGUCGAACGAAACUUCUUUAUCACCGAGUGCUUGCACUCACCGAUAAAGAGUUGAGUGGCGAACGGGUGAGUGACACGUGGGCAACCUGCCCAAAAGAGGGGGAUAACACUUGGAAACAGGUGCUAAUACCGCAUAACCAUAGUUACCGCAUGGUAACUAUGUACAAGGUGGCUAUACUACCGCUUUUGGAUGGGCCCGCGGCGCAUUAGCUAGUUGGUAGGGUAAAGGCUUACCAAGGCAAUGAUGCGUAGCCGAAUUGAGAGGUUGAUCGGCCACAUUGGGACUGAGACACGGCCCAAACUCCUACGGGAGGCAGCAGUAGGGAAUCUUCCACAAUGGGCGAAAGCCUGAUGGAGCAACGCCGCGUGGGUGAAGAAGGUCUUCGGAUCGUAAAACCCUGUUGUUAGAGAAGAAAGUGCGUGAGAGUAACUGUUCACGUUUCGACGGUAUCUAACCGGAAAGCCACGGCUAACUACGUG
This 512-nucleotide ribosomal RNA is filed under the name uncultured bacterium. Its description in RNAcentral is "partial 16S ribosomal RNA". It matches the Rfam family "Bacterial small subunit ribosomal RNA", at positions 28 to 507 of the family's 1533-position model. The record is from RNAcentral.